AUAUAUUUAUGACUGGAAACUGGAUAGAAUUAUGAGCACAGGCAAAUGGGCAUGAGCACAUGGAAUUAUGAACACAUGCAAAACUCGACUGAUUUAACCAUCUCUUCUGAUGACAUUUGAUUCUACCUCUCUGCUUCAAAACAGCUU
This is a non-coding RNA of Pseudonaja textilis, 147 nucleotides long. The record is from RefSeq and is a predicted model, not a curated record. NCBI's taxonomy places the organism in Eukaryota, Metazoa, Chordata, Lepidosauria, Squamata, Elapidae.